RNAcentral lists this ribosomal RNA (675 nucleotides) under Triticum aestivum (bread wheat). Its description in RNAcentral is "partial small subunit ribosomal RNA". The record is from RNAcentral. Lineage: Eukaryota; Viridiplantae; Streptophyta; Magnoliopsida; Poales; Poaceae.
AUGCAGGAGGAACCUGACACCAUUGUAGAGCCCCUUUUUUGUGGGCAACUUGAGUUGUCUGAACUCAAAUGCAUUCUGCACCACAUGAGGCCUGUUAAGUGUGUGGCUUUUGAAGGAACUUUUACUGGCAGGGGUUUCUAUGGCUGCCCAAUGCAGUGGGUUGACAAGCCUUGGCCUCCUGUUCUUCAAAAAUGUUUGUCCAAGCUAUGAGAAACGUUCCAUGAGCAGAAUUAUGGAAGGGUACUUGACAAGCAACAGUUUGAGAAGCAGUUGGUCGAGCUUAAGACUGGAAAUGAAAAACUUUGCAUUGAGUACAGCAAGCUUGUUGAAGAUGUAGCCAAGAUGUUUGAUUAGCAGGAUGGUAGGGUGGACAACAAGGUCUUCCAGAAACAAGUGGAGGAGGAAGAGUUUGAGAAGAAGAAGGAGCUAGAGGAGAAAGCUAGGUUGGAGGUGCAGAUGGAAAAGCUUAAACUUGACAAGGAGCAGGGGUGCAUUUUGAAGAGCCAAGCUGACAUUAUCAAGAACACCAAGAAGGCUAUGAAGGAUUUUGAAGUGGACAUAGAUCUUCUUAAGAAGGAGAAGGCAAAGCUUGAGCAAGUUUUUGCUGAGUUGCUGAAAGAUGGCUAUGGCAGCAAGGAGAAGUUAGAGAAAAUCAAGGACAUCCUUGAGUCAUGA